RNAcentral lists this ribosomal RNA (297 nucleotides) under uncultured bacterium. Its description in RNAcentral is "partial 16S ribosomal RNA". It matches the Rfam family "Bacterial small subunit ribosomal RNA", at positions 9 to 308 of the family's 1533-position model. The record is from RNAcentral.
GAGUUUGAUCCUGGCUCAGAUUGAACGCUGGCGGCAUGCUUUACACAUGCAAGUCGAACGGUAACAGGGAGCUUGCUCCGCUGACGAGUGGCGAACGGGUGAGUAAUGCGUCGGAACGUGCCGAGUAGUGGGGGAUAACGCAUCGAAAGGUGUGCUAAUACCGCAUACGAACUGAGGUUGAAAGUGGGGGACCUUCGGGCCUCACGCUAUUCGAGCGGCCGACGUCUGAUUAGCUAGUAGGUGAGGUAAAGGCUCACCUAGGCGACGAUCAGUAGCGGGUCUGAGAGGAUGAUCCGC